Molecule: ribosomal RNA, 569 nt
Filed under: uncultured eukaryote
Lineage: Eukaryota
Description: bacterial SSU rRNA
Rfam family: Eukaryotic small subunit ribosomal RNA
Source: RNAcentral
CGAUUGUAGUCAUAUGCUUGUCUCAAAGAUUAAGCCAUGCAUGUCUAAGUAUAAGUGUUUAUAUAGCGAAACUGCGAAUGGCUCAUUAAAUCAGUUAUAGUUUAUUUGAUUGUACCUUUUGAAUACUUGGAUAACCGUAGUAAUUCUAGAGCUAAUACAUGCUAAAAGCCUCAACUUUACGGAAGAGGUGCAUUUAUUAGAUACAAAAACCGAUGUAUUGUUUUCCUUCGGGGGAGCAAUGCCUUGUGAUGACUCAUGAUAACUUUGCGAAUCGCAUAGCUUCGUGCUGGCGAUAAAUCAUUCAAAUUUCUGACCUAUCAACUUUCGAUGGUAGUGUAGUGGACUACCAUGGUUAUAACGGGUAACGGAGGAUUAGGGUUCGAUUCCGGAGAGGGUGCCUGAGAAGUGGCAACCACUUCCAAGGAAGGCAGCAGGCGCGCAAAUUACCCAAUCGCAAUACGCGGAGGUAGUGACAAUAAAUAACAAUACAGGUCCCGACAAGGGACUUGUAAUUGGAAUGAGUACAAUUUAAACCCCUUAACAAGGAACAAUUGGAGGACAAGUCUGGA